UGGGGAAUUUUGGACAAUGGGCGCAAGCCUGAUCCAGCCAUGCCGCGUGCAGGAUGAAGGCCUUCGGGUUGUAAACUGCUUUUGUACGGAACGAAAAGGUGCCUUCUAAUAAAGGGCGCUCAUGACGGUACCGUAAGAAUAAGCACCGGCUAACUACGUGCCAGCAGCCGCGGUAAUACGUAGGGUGCGAGCGUUAAUCGGAAUUACUGGGCGUAAAGCGUGCGCAGGCGGUUUUGUAAGACAGAGGUGAAAUCCCCGGGCUCAACCUGGUAACUGCCUUUGUGACUGCAAGGCUGGAGUGCGGCAGAGGGGGAUGGAAUUCCGCGUGUAGCAGUGAAAUGCGUAGAUAUGCGGAGGAACACCUAUGGCGAAGGCAAUCCCCUGGGCCUGCACUGACGCUCAUGCACGAAAGCGUGGGGA
RNAcentral lists this ribosomal RNA (420 nucleotides) under uncultured bacterium. RNAcentral describes it as "bacterial SSU rRNA". It matches the Rfam family "Bacterial small subunit ribosomal RNA", at positions 355 to 767 of the family's 1533-position model. The record is from RNAcentral.